UAUAAGUGAAGCCAUAAGUUUUCGUGCCGAACUUUGAUCGUCUGUCUUGUUUGAAAUUUUUUUAUGAUUAGUAUUUUUGUUGUUAUUAGAUGAUAAAAUAUGAAUAUUACUUUAUACGUGACUUAUGUUUUUAAUUUUUUUUAAAAAAAUUUAAAAAAGACGGGUGAUUAAAGUUGGACACGGAAAAUCAUGGAUGUACUUAAA
Molecule: microRNA precursor, 204 nt
Organism: Oryza sativa Indica Group (long-grained rice)
Lineage: Eukaryota; Viridiplantae; Streptophyta; Magnoliopsida; Poales; Poaceae
Rfam family: MIR812 microRNA precursor family
Source: Rfam